UACGGGGGGGGCAAGCGUUGUUCGGAAUUACUGGGCGUAAAGGGCUCGUAGGCGGCCAACUAAGUCCGACGUGAAAUCCCCAGGCUUAACCUGGGAACUGCGUCGGAUACUGGAUGGCUUGAAUUCGGGAGAGGGAUGCAGAAUUCCAGGUGUAGCGGUGAAAUGCGCAGAUAUCGGGAGGAACACCAGUAGCGAAGGCGGCACUCUGGGCCGGUACUGACGCUGAGGAGCGAAAGCCAGGGGAGCAAACGGG
Molecule: ribosomal RNA, 253 nt
Filed under: uncultured bacterium
Lineage: Bacteria
Description: partial 16S ribosomal RNA
Rfam family: Bacterial small subunit ribosomal RNA
Source: RNAcentral